GAUGAACGCUGGCGGCGUGCCUAAUACAUGCAAGUCGAGCGAACGGACGAGAAGCUUGCUUCUCUGAUGUUAGCGGCGGACGGGUGAGUAACACGUGGAUAACCUACCUAUAAGACUGGGAUAACUUCGGGAAACCGGAGCUAAUACCGGAUAAUAUUUUGAACCGCAUGGUUCAAAAGUGAAAGACGGUCUUGCUGUCACUUAUAGAUGGAUCCGCGCUGCAUUAGCUAGUUGGUAAGGUAACGGCUUACCAAGGCAACGAUGCAUAGCCGACCUGAGAGGGUGAUCGGCCACACUGGAACUGAGACACGGUCCAGACUCCUACGGGAGGCAGCAGUAGGGAAUCUUCCGCAAUGGGCGAAAGCCUGACGGAGCAACGCCGCGUGAGUGAUGAAGGUCUUCGGAUCGUAAAACUCUGUUAUUAGGGAAGAACAUAUGUGUAAGUAACUGUGCACAUCUUGACGGUACCUAAUCAGAAAGCCACGGCUAACUACGUGCCAGCAGCCGCGGUAAUACGUAGGUGGCAAGCGUUAUCCGGAAUUAUUGGGCGUAAAGCGCGCGUAGGCGGUUUUUUAAGUCUGAUGUGAAAGCCCACGGCUCAACCGUGGAGGGUCAUUGGAAACUGGAAAACUUGAGUGCAGAAGAGGAAAGUGGAAUUCCAUGUGUAGCGGUGAAAUGCGCAGAGAUAUGGAGGAACACCAGUGGCGAAGGCGACUUUCUGGUCUGUAACUGACGCUGAUGUGCGAAAGCGUGGGGAUCAAACAGGAUUAGAUACCCUGGUAGUCCACGCCGUAAACGAUGAGUGCUAAGUGUUAGGGGGUUUCCGCCCCUUAGUGCCGCAGCUAACGCAUUAAGCACUCCGCCUGGGGAGUACGACCGCAAGGUUGAAACUCAAAGGAAUUGACGGGGACCCGCACAAGCGGUGGAGCAUGUGGUUUAAUUCGAAGCAACGCGAAGAACCUUACCAAAUCUUGACAUCCUUUGACAACUCUAGAGAUAGAGCCUUCCCCUUCGGGGGACAAAGUGACAGGUGGUGCAUGGUUGUCGUCAGCUCGUGUCGUGAGAUGUUGGGUUAAGUCCCGCAACGAGCGCAACCCUUAAGCUUAGUUGCCAUCAUUAAGUUGGGCACUCUAAGUUGACUGCCGGUGACAAACCGGAGGAAGGUGGGGAUGACGUCAAAUCAUCAUGCCCCUUAUGAUUUGGGCUACACACGUGCUACAAUGGACAAUACAAAGGGCAGCGAAACCGCGAGGUCAAGCAAAUCCCAUAAAGUUGUUCUCAGUUCGGAUUGUAGCCUGCAACUCGACUACAUGAAGCUGGAAUCGCUAGUAAUCGUAGAUCAGCAUGCUACGGUGAAUACGUUCCCGGGUCU
Molecule: ribosomal RNA, 1372 nt
Filed under: uncultured bacterium
Lineage: Bacteria
Description: bacterial SSU rRNA
Rfam family: Bacterial small subunit ribosomal RNA
Source: RNAcentral